This 253-nucleotide ribosomal RNA is filed under the name uncultured bacterium. RNAcentral describes it as "partial 16S ribosomal RNA". It matches the Rfam family "Bacterial small subunit ribosomal RNA", at positions 524 to 776 of the family's 1533-position model. The record is from RNAcentral.
UACGUAGGGUGCAAGCGUUGUCCGGAAUUAUUGGGCGUAAAGAGCUCGUAGGCGGUCUGUCGCGUCGGCUGUGAAAACCCGGGGCUCAACCCCGGGCCUGCAGUCGAUACGGGCAGACUAGAGUGCGGUAGGGGAGACUGGAAUUCCUGGUGUAGCGGUGGAAUGCGCAGAUAUCAGGAGGAACACCGAUGGCGAAGGCAGAUCUCUGGGCCGUAACUGACGCUGAGGAGCGAAAGCGUGGGGAGCGAACAGG